This 165-nucleotide ribosomal RNA is filed under the name Afgekia sericea. RNAcentral describes it as "5.8S ribosomal RNA". It matches the Rfam family "5.8S ribosomal RNA". From Rfam's summary of the family: 5.8S ribosomal RNA (5.8S rRNA) is a component of the large subunit of the eukaryotic ribosome. It is transcribed by RNA polymerase I as part of the 45S precursor that also contains 18S and 28S rRNA. Lineage: Eukaryota; Viridiplantae; Streptophyta; Magnoliopsida; Fabales; Fabaceae. The record is from RNAcentral.
AGAACGACUCUCGGCAACGGAUAUCUAGGCUCUCGCAUCGAUGAAGAACGUAGCGAAAUGCGAUACUUGGUGUGAAUUGCAGAAUCCCGUGAACCAUCGAGUCUUUGAACGCAAGUUGCGCCCGAAGCCAUCAGGCCGAGGGCACGCCUGCCUGGGUGUCACAGA